RNAcentral lists this long non-coding RNA (498 nucleotides) under Physcomitrium patens. Its description in RNAcentral is "long non-coding RNA (PPAT_LNC012763)". The record is from RNAcentral. Lineage: Eukaryota; Viridiplantae; Streptophyta; Bryopsida; Funariales; Funariaceae.
ACAAGAGUAAUAGUAAGUCACACACACAAGAGUAGUAGUAAGUCAUACACACACAAGAAUAGUAGUAAGUCAUACACACAAGAAGGUUUCUAAGGAGAGAGAGCUUCACACUCAAAAAACUUUUGAUCUGGUUGUGUCUUGUAUACCAGAAGAGAAAAGAGGAGAGGAUAAACAUUACUUCUCCACUAGACUCUAAAUACUGUAGCUACAGUAAUUACUGUAGUCUACAAUAAAUAUUAUGGAGAGCGUAGGCUACAUUUAAUGAUCUCAACAACCUGAACCUGACAAUGAUUGGAACUAAAUUGUAACUAUUGGAACUAAAUUGUAACUAUUAAAGCGUAAACAGUGCCAGCAAACAGGACCUCCAUUACUCACUGCCAAAGACUUUCGCUGUGUCUCACUCAAAGACACUGCCAACCUGAAGUCAACCUCUGUGGUGCAAACAACCUGAAGAACGUGCCCAGCCAUUAGCCGCCUAGUUCGUCAAAUUCCUCCAAA